Molecule: non-coding RNA, 77 nt
Organism: Podarcis lilfordi (Lilford's wall lizard)
Lineage: Eukaryota; Metazoa; Chordata; Lepidosauria; Squamata; Lacertidae
Source: the annotation of a GenBank genome assembly
GCUGGGAUUGCUCAGCUGGUUAGAGCACUGUGCUGAUAAUGUGAAGGUUGCAGGUUCGAUCCCCAUGCAGGACAGCU